RNAcentral lists this ribosomal RNA (253 nucleotides) under uncultured bacterium. RNAcentral describes it as "partial 16S ribosomal RNA". It matches the Rfam family "Bacterial small subunit ribosomal RNA", at positions 524 to 776 of the family's 1533-position model. The record is from RNAcentral.
UACGAAGGGGGCUAGCGUUGCUCGGAAUCACUGGGCGUAAAGGGUGCGUAGGCGGGUCUUUAAGUCAGGGGUGAAAUCCUGGAGCUCAACUCCAGAACUGCCUUUGAUACUGAAGAUCUUGAGUCCGGGAGAGGUGAGUGGAACUGCGAGUGUAGAGGUGAAAUUCGUAGAUAUUCGCAAGAACACCAGUGGCGAAGGCGGCGACCUGGGUCGAGACUGACGCUGAGGCGCGAAAGCGUGGGGAGCAAACAGG